AUACGAUAUAUUUUUCGUUAUUACCUGCUAUUUUUAUUAUUUUGUCGCGACGCAGAACGUGUUUAGCGUAUUACGGCCAUUACUUUUCCUCGAUAUAUUUUACUAACCGGCGGAUAUACCAAAUAAUUUUAUAAAUACCAAUUAUAUUAUUAAUACUGCCAAUUGUAAAUUCCGUUUAUAAUAUUAUCCUGCCACCGUCGCAGCCCUCCUUUAUAAAUUAGUGGUGGGGGAAAUUAUCCCCUUUAAAAUAAUAUUUAGAAAUUAAAGCCCGAAUCGCCCACAAACUCUUAUAUUUCCAAAAUAUUAUACCAAUUUAACCAAAUAUAAUAUAUUUCCACCGUUUUUUAAAUAUUACGUACAGCCCAUUUUCCACCUUUUUGCUAUUUAAUACCCAAUUCCGGGGCAGGGUAUAUUAUUUGCGAUUGUCGGAACGUCUGGUUUUAUCCACCAUGUCCAAUUCGAAAAAAAAGGCGAAAAUCCCCUACAAACCGGAGAUACCUUGUACCGAUAGCAAAUUAAAAACGGGCCGAAACCAGGACCUUUUGUCGGAAAAUACGAUAUCGGUUUUAAACACCGCUCCAAUAUGGACUGUUUAAGGAAAUAUUACUAUUUAGCUAUAUUAAAUUGGAAUUCUUGUUUAAAACGCUCCGUAUAAUUUAUUUUAUAAUUUUAUUUAAAGGUAUAAAUCGCGCAAAACAGUAAUAAAAUUGUUAAGAGUUUUUUAUCCCCAAUCCUGCAUUUCCCCUGCCAACCGUUCCUUCUCGCCUGCAAAAUUAUUAAAUACCGAUUUGAUUUUUAAAUUAUAAUAGCCAAACCGUGUACAUACGUUAACAAUCGCGUUAUUCCAUCGUUUAUUAUUUUUCGUUAAUUAACGGAGGUUUGUUAUAAUAAUUUUAUAUACUUUUAAUCCAUCUUCGGUCCAAACCCCAAACGUAUAAAGAUUUUGCAGCGAUUUAUAAGUUUUUUCACGUUUAUUAAUAAUAUAUUAAAAUUGUAUUACAAUUAUAAAUUUGGCUAAAAAGUAAAUUAUAUCGAUUUCGCAAUAAGGAAAAAAUAAGCAAAACCUCCUAAAGGUUUUAAAUUAUUUUGCCAAUUGUUUUAAAGCGGCUGUAAACUUUUUUUUAAAAUUAUGGUUUUGGCCAUUAGGUUAUCGGUUGGUUUUUUAUGGUUUCGGCGAUAAUAUUUUUGCUGGGAGUUGCACCAAAAGGAGAGCGAUCCGCGUAUCCGAAUAAUAUUGGACCGAUUAUAUUAUAAAUAUAGUUAUUAAUAGUUAAAUUGCACAAAUACGUUAAAAUAUACCGCCAGACGAAAACGUUUACCUGGGCUGGUAAAGAUUUUUCUGCAAUUAGGCAAAAUAUAAGGAUAAUAACGUAAAUAUUACAAUUAUAUAAAUUUUCCUGCCGGGUACAAAAGGCCUUAUAAUAUUCCAUUUAUUCGGGUUUUAAUAUAGGUAUAUUGGUAACUGGUGUUAGAUUAACCUCCGUAUAUGGUUGAAAAAUGUUUUUGGGAUAAAUAAUAUAAAAUUUUCAAAAAAAUUGUAAAAAAUGGCGUAUUUGGUGCCAAAUUCCAAUAUAGGGAGGGCCUUGUAAUUUUCCGAAUAGAAAAUGCAUAUAAUUUUAUUUUCGGUUAAUUUUCCACAUUAUAUAUGCUGGCUGGUACUGGUUUUGGCAAUUUUUUAAAAUAUAUAAAAAGUCGCAAAAUAGUUAUUAACCGUGAUAAAAGACGAAUUAAACGUUGCACCCAUAAUAAAUAACGUAUUAAUAUAAUUAUUAUUUAACCGACUUUUUAAAAAUACCAAAUCGGCCAUAUUAUCUGCUGUUAAAAAUUGCCAAAAUAACCUGUUGGUUGGACCGCGUAAGGCAAUACGGCUGUUAGGCCUUAUAUAUUCCGAAAUACGUAACGUUUUUAUAUUUAAAUUGGCAAAAGGCCGGUUUAUUUAACAAAUUGGCGAUGGGUUAUCGGCGACGACAACGUUUUAAUUUGCACCGGAACCGGGUGCACCGGAACCGAAAAAAUACGUUCGAAACCGGUAUAAAAUUAGGCGGCGGUUAUUGGAAUACGCCGGUUCGAUAUUUGCAACCGUAUUUAAUAUUUGGGAUAAAUGGGGAUCGGUGGGAGCAAAAUUUAAUCCGAUCGUUAUAUUAGUAACGGAUUAUCGCAUUUUUGGGGGUUUAAUUUACGUUUGGUCGCGCAGGUAAUAUUUUUCCGAAUACGUUUGGCGGGAGGGUUUCCACUGUCGCGGCGGUAUUUUAUGGAAAAGGACGGUGCGGCCGAAAACGGGUUCGCAUUGGGGGAAAUAUCGGUCUCAGGUCCAAAUUAUUUGUUAAAUUUUUGGUGGUAAAAUUAAUUGUAUAUUUUUGGGGCGUUGUUUAAAACAAAUAUAUUUAAUAUUGGUUCCCAGGUCGCUGCAUUGCCCUUAUAUCCAACCCAAUAUAUUAAUAGUUGUGGGAAUUUGCCUGGUUUGUAAUAAAAUAUUUUAAAAAUGCGGAAUAUAUUGCAUUUAAUAGUUCUUUCCCGAAUUUAAUUAAAUAACGCCCAAAAUUUAACGAUUAUUACUUUAUCCCGGCGUUGCAUUUUUUUUUUAAAUACCUCCCUGCCAUUUUUACUUUAAAUAAUAAAUUUAACGGUGGUCCGUUAAUUGUUAAUUACCCAAUUGUUAAUUAUCUCGUCGUUAUUACUGUUUUUACUUAUAUCGUCUCUUUAAUUAAAAUUUGCAAUUAUUAUUAGAAAGGGUCUAGGUUAUUUUAAAACGUAAUAAUAUUAAAUAAAUUACCUACGUUAUUAUAUAAUCGCGGUUAUAUAAAAUAUAAUUAUUAAUCGAACGCGGGUCGCAUUUAACGUGGACAAAUGCGAAGGUUUGCGUAAUUUGCGUGGUGGUUAAUUUAAAUAAUAAAAAGCGAUUGUUUGCGCAAUCGACGCGUUAACGCGUUCGGUGGUAUGCGCUGCGUAAUAUUAGCAAGGGGAGACGAAUGGCCAGAUUACCCCGCCCCAAAAGGCAAUUUUUCGGGCGUAAAUAGGAUUAAUUAUAUCGAUUUAAUUGGAUAGGGAACGGUUAAUAAAAUUAAAAUUACCUAAAAUUGCAGUUGGUUUGGUCGCCGGAUAAUAAUAACGCGACCAUUAAAUUGCCCCGCCAAACGCCAAUUACCUUCCAUUUUUUUUCGAUUGUUUUAUCCCUCCCUAUUUAUUAUCGUCGUAUUAAAUAUACCUCGUACAAAUCCCUUUUCCACGUAUAAUAAUAUAACGGUAACGCAAACCGCGGCAAUUUAUACCUGUAACCCCUGUUUUUUCUAUUUAAUUUUUGGGUGGUUUAAUAUAAUUAACCACGCCGUCGUGGGUGCGCGGCCGACGCCAUUUUUAUUUCCGCAUAGUCCCGACCCGGAUUCCGACCUGCGUAAAAAACGUUGGUAACCAAACGCAAACGAACGCCCAAUUUUAAUAUCGAAUUUUUAUUACCCGUUUACGUUAUAUUACCCUUUCCCCUGGAUUUUUAUUGCGGUCGGGGUUACCACCCAAACGACGCCGAAUUUAAAAGCACGACCGCGAUCCGUUAAACGGCCCGGUUUUUAAUUCCGACCUAACGCCCCGUGCCCUUCGCGGUAAUAAUUGUCCAUUUUCCUCCUUUUUAACCAAUUUAAACCCGAGCCGGGCGCCUUUUACGUUUUAUCCGCCUGCACCGUUAUCGUCCACCUUUAUUCGGUUUAUAAAAUUUCGACCUCGACAAUUUUAUCGCGUAAUUAGAAUUAAUUAAAACGUUUUACGAGCCCAGCCAAAUAAAUAAUUAACCUGGAAAAACCAAUUUAUAUUAUACCUGGGAAUAAAAUAGCCAAAAAACUGUUUAAAUUACUACCCCCAUAAAUAUUUACGGUUUAUAAAAUUUUGAAAUUUAUUAGCGGAUUUAUUACGUUGUGCGUUUUCGGCCAGGUAAAAAAAAUAAUAAAAAUAAAAGGUCCCACGUUAUCUGCCUAAUUUACGUCCUUUGGCGAAAACGACAAAAUUACCGUUAUUUCUAAGUUACGGACAGUGGAUAGCAUUUGCGACGACGCCUUCAGGUUAGCAAAUUAAAAAGUAUACGAAUUUGAAUAAAACGCAUGCGUAUAUAUAUUAAUUUAAGUAAUAUAAUUUGCCAAAUCCGCCGUCCAAACGUUAUUAACCAGGUCGGAAUUACACCCGUUUUCGUUCCGCCCAUUCGCGUCACAUAUUUUAAUCGAGGAGGGCUCGACGCCGUAAUAUAAAAGAAGAUUAAUCUCGCGUUUUCCCUAAACCCCGGGAGAAAUAGCCGGUUAAAAAAAGACAUUUUUGGCGCCGUUAUUGUCCAACCUUUAUUAGAACGCAUUGUCUCGCAAAUAAUAUAUAACGGGCUACUGUUUCUGCCCAUCGCCGUUACGAUUAAAACCAAGAUUUUCCAAAGCGAUAAAAAUUACGGUUUAAUUUAGCUGGGCGUAUAAAUUGCGGCGUGGUACGUCCGCAUACGUAAAUUUAUACCGCCAAAAUAUAGCAGGCGCCUCGUUACGCUGCUUAUAAUUGCGUAUUAUAAUUGUAACCGCGGCGAUAGGAUUGGAAUGGUCCUAUUCGGGUAUAUAAACGGUACGUGGAAAUUUUCGGAAAUAUAUAAAUUCCUUGCAAAUUUAAAGGCGCUGGUUAAUUGGGUGGACGGGUGUUUCCAAAAGUGGAUGGUUUAUUUUUUUGCGGAUUAAUAUUGUUAAAAUAAAGCGGGAAGCGUAUUGUAAUAAUUUGAUAUAUAUUAACGUAUACCCUUUUAUUAUAUAAUUAUUAAUUUUAAAUAAGGGAUUAAAGCUCCCUUAUUAUAAUAUUUUAAAUAUAAACCUGUUAUGAUAUAUAUUCCGAAAGGUAAUUAUCGGUGUUAUGGCUCGCGUUGCGGUUGGAGUCGUAAUUAAUACAAACAAUUAAAUAAACGUUAUUUAGGUUGUAAUAAUUACAAAUAAAAUUUUAAAUAACCUAUUCCUAAGGGUAAAUAUAUAAUGGGUUAAAACAAUUAAACGUUUGGGCGUAAUAAUGGGUCCUAAGGGUAAAGGUAUAAUUUAACUUAUAAUUAGAAUAAUAAAUUAAUUGCUGCUAGGCGAUUUAUAAACCAAAAUUAUUUUAUUAGGUAAUAAUUGUUUUUAAAUUUAUAUAUAAUUUUGCGAUUAUUUUGUUCAUUUAAUAAUUUUUAUAAUAAUUUGUCGAUUUAUAUAAUCCGCUCCUUAUUACGAAAUAUAUAAUAAAAGGUGGGGUUCUUAUUUUUCCCGCGCGCCCAGCGAAUAUUUUUUUCCUUUUUUGUCCCUUUUAAUUGGUUACGAACGUUAUAAAAGUUUCUAUUUAUCCAAAUUCGACCUAUAGAUUUAAUCGCCAAAUUCGAACGAAGAUUUGGCUCCCGAAAUUAUUAAUUAAUAUUAUAAAACAAAGUAGAAAAACCAAAGGCGACGGAGCCGAUAAAAUUACCACGUAAUAAACGAAAAUUAAAAUUAGGAAUUUAUUUGGAAAGUAAAGCAGGAAAACGCGGCCGCAUUAUAAAUUUGUAUUAUUACCGCUGGUAUUAUUAUUACAGCGACGUUUAUUCCAUGGCGGCCGUGGCGCCGUUAUUACCGAGGGGCUGGGUACGCCAAUUUUCGUAUUCGAACGUUACCAGGCAAAAAACAAUAUUUGGGCGCAACUUUUCUUUACCGCGUAAUAGCCUCGGCGUUAUAGCAGGCCACGAUACCCUGGUUAGCGGCCGUAAAUCCAAAUUCGGUUUAGCAACCGUUUAUAUUAAUAUUAUUAUUAAAAUUAAUAUUUAACUGUUAUUAUUUCAAAUCGAAUUUUGGUUUUAUAUUAAACCGAAAAUUCGAAAAGUUUACAAGCAAAAUUAGAAAAAAAAUAUUAUCCAGGUUUUGUUUAAUUUGCGGACCUUUUGUAAAACCUUCCAUUAUCUCCUUUAAUUUGCAAUGGCCAAUUCUUCACCUAUAACCAUUUACGUAUUUACGUCUAUGGGUUCGUAAUUUAAAUGUCCGUCGCUGCCAUUUUCUCCGAAGGAUAUUACCGCCUCAAUUCUUAUAUUAUAUUCUCUAUUAAAAAAGGAGUUAAUUAUAUAAUAAUCCUAAUUAUUUUAAUUAAUAUCCACGUUAAUACCUAUCCCUUUAUUUAAAUCCUGCUGUUUCCCGCAAUUAUUUUCCUUCUGCUGCAAAUAUGGUUAUUUCGGCCGCUGCAACCCAUUAUUUACUAUUAUUUUCCCUGCUCCUUUAAUUGCAUUUAUAUUAUUGGUAUUAUUCCUAUACCCGACCCUAAUACCCUAAUUGCUGUUUUUGGCCCCGUAGGCCCAUUCCACAAUAAUUUUAAUUUGGUAAGAAAUUUUAAUAUUAAAUUGUUACCCUCCUGCACCGGAACGGAAUUCCAUUUCGCCGUUUUAACUAACAGUAUUUCGCUUUCGUUUGCAGCUAACCGUUCGUAUUAAACGUCUUAUUUAUAAUUUUGCUAAAAUAAUUAAAUGUUUUACUAAGGGUAAAAUAAUAAUAGGUGUUAGAAAAUAACGUACCCUGUCCAAUAAUCUUUUCUGGAGACCAAAUUAAUAGCAGGUAAAAAAUGGACAUUUUAUAUUUGUCGUAAAUAAAAUAAAAGAGGAGAGGAAAAAAAUGGGCAGUGGGAAGUCCAACCUGUUAUUAUAUUCUUUUUCUUUUCCCAAUCCUGGUAUUAAAUACCAAACCGUGCAGACGAAAUACGUGCAGAUAAAAGUGCCAUUAUAUUAUUCCACUAAUCCAAUCCCCUAAUUAUUUUAUUAAAUUACGUAAAAUGGCCCGUUUCGUAAAAGGUGCACGGUUUAUUAUAAGUAAAAAUUGCUAAAAUAUAUACGUAAAAUACCCAAUUAUAAUGGGUGUUUGGAAUAAUUAUAAGCAGGUAUUUUCGCCGGCGUCGUCGGCGUAAAAAGAAAAAUUGCGAGGUCGCCGGACGCCUUGCGAAUACGUCGAAAAACGAAAAGGUGGGGUAAUUUAAUCGGCCAAAAAAAGGCUGGUUUUGCAAAAACGCGUUUGGGAAAAAUAUUGGAACGCGACGCGGAAUUAAUCUUAAAAAUAUAAAGGGGCGAACCAGGAAUUGGGGCCACAAAUAUAUUGCAGGCACGCGGUUAUUUGGCGCUCCAAUUCUACGUUUUCCAUCCGAUCGCACGAGGCGCGUAUAACUCGUUUAUUUUUAACAUUUAUUUAUCCUUUUAAUUACUUUUAUUUAUAUUAAUUAUAUUUGUAAAUUGGACCAGGUAUUAUAUAUUUAUAUUUAGGUUAUUUUAAAUGUGUGACGUUAAUGCAAAUUUGCCGCUACCAAUAAUUAAUAUUCGAAAUCCUAUUUUAAAAUUUUCCCCGGAACCGGUUUCGUUCCCUCCUUUUAAUUUAUAAAUAAUUCCAAUAUUUUGGUUCGCAUCCCUGCAUUUUAUAUUAAUCCCGUGUCGCGUUUAUAAUAAAUUUAAAAGGUAUUGGCCAGAAUAAAUUUAUAUAAUAAAGUAAAAAAGAAUACGGCGUGGGUAAUAGGAAAGGUUAAAUAACCAAUAUUCUGGUUCCGAAACCCUAAAUUAUAACUAUUAUUUUUCGCUUAACCCUGUUACCGCAAAAAAAUUAUAUUUCGGUCCCCGGAAAAAAUGGAUAAAAUCGUAUUUUAUUUAUUUAUUAGCAAAUAAAAGGCAGAUGUGGCAAUUUCGCAAAUAUAUAAAGAUUAAAAUUGUUAUUAUAUAAAAUAAAAAUACCGUUCGCUUACCCCGCGUCGUUCGCAAAUUUACACCAAACGUCCAAAAAAAGGUUGGUUCCUUAUUUAACGGUAAAAAAAGACGGUAAUAUAGGUUGUUAUAUUAUUUAUAUUAUAAUAUUCCCAGGAAAUUUACAAAUUUUACAAUUAAAACCGUUUAUUGCAAAGGAAUAAACCGUUUAUUAAUAGGCGAAUUUAACGCGUAAACAAACCCCAUUACCGAUACGGCGCCGCAUUGUAAAAAUAAUAUUUAAUUCGGGAAAUAUUAACAGUUAUAUUAAUAUGGGCAAUAUCGCCAAUUUAAUUA
This 8008-nucleotide small RNA is filed under the name Pyricularia oryzae. RNAcentral's name for it is "Magnaporthe oryzae sRNA M_BR32_EuGene_00074961". Lineage: Eukaryota; Fungi; Ascomycota; Sordariomycetes; Magnaporthales; Pyriculariaceae. The record is from RNAcentral.